CUUCCAAGGUGCUCAAAUUUUCUGCUAUAUUCAAAAGAAGUAUCUGUAUGUGGACAAAUGCCAUGGAUGCUGUUUGCAGUGUGCAAACAGAAGACAAAGGCAGAAACUUUUUUGUUUGGUUAGGACCAGUGCUAAAUGCUUUUGCAACUGUUUGACUUGGGACUUGCUAAGUAUUCGUCUGCAGAUGUAGAAAGCUAUUAGUGAAAAAAUAUUUGUAUAAAACUCCUCGUGAGUCCCACUGGGCUAUGUGAAGUCCCAGCUUGCUAGUUGUCAAACGACGUGUGCUUACAACCCUGAGGUGCCAAUUUAAACGUAGCUUUCUUUCCCCCAGGUUUGAGCAACACCUAGAGUUUGUAGCAUCCUGUGGGUGAAAAACAGAUUCUCAGGGGAUGCAUCGUGUUGGAGCUGGAAAGGAGCGCUUUCCAUGUCGCCAAUCUCUGAGUGAGCUGCUCUGGUAUAAGGGCUUUGUGGAUCUUGGGAGGGGUACAGAAGUGGCAAUUCCAGUUCAAUGAAGGACCCUACACUGUUGAUGAAAUAUCAUUAUUCCUCUUCGCAUCUUUCCAGUCAUUUUCAUCACGACUUGUACUGAUUUCGUGCCUGGAUGGGAUUGAAAGCUGUAUUCUCUCCACCACUGUGACCAAAACAUUUCUCCAUAAGCUGAUCAAGUUGAUGUGCUGGCAGGGGAAUAAAGGAAACUUCAGAUCUGAGCAGCUGGAAGGGGCCGUCAAAAAGUCACUGCUGUCAACUACCCAUGGAAAAAUGCCCACUCCCAUCAGAGCAUCCCCACCGCAGCUGGUCAGAGCCAGCUGACACUGAAGACAUCGUCUCCAAAAAGGAUGGUUCAAGAAGGAAGCUGAGGAGCUCAGACAUCAAGAAAAGCCACCAUGGGUGAUUUUAUUUGUUCUGACGUGUCAAAAUCCAGUAAGUCUUUUUGUUCAAUUUUAAGCAGAAACGUCGUAGAUGUUGACUGAGUAACUUUGCAGACAAACUUGCAUCUUCACUGAACCAGAAGGUUUCUCUUAUUCACACCAAUAUGGACACACCAGGAACACUGUAAGAAACUGCAUUUAGGAGAAGGUUCCAUUGAGCAAACUCAAUGUGCACUUAGUUCACAUAAACCCUGGAGAGCCAACCAGUGAGACCUCAAAGUCCAAUGUAAUUUGCAGGCUCAUGUAUCCCAAACUUCACUGCUCUCUUUCAAAUGGAAAAAAAUGAGGCAAAAUGAUCUGCUGUGGUUCCAGAAUCGGUGUACAGUCUUUGCCAUGGUGUGAAGAUCUUGUUUGGUUCUUGGAAGUAAAUGUACAUUCUAAUGUGUUGUUUAAUCUGUGCAGAGGUAUCUAAAUGCUUAAGAAAUGAGGUGGACGUCAUCCAAGUGUAAUUUGAGGGGAGCCGGUGGGA
RNAcentral lists this long non-coding RNA (1398 nucleotides) under Phasianus colchicus (ring-necked pheasant). RNAcentral's name for it is "lncRNA (ENSPCLG00000004934.1)". Lineage: Eukaryota; Metazoa; Chordata; Aves; Galliformes; Phasianidae. The record is from RNAcentral.